ACUCCUACGGGAGGCAGCAGUGGGGAAUUUUGCGCAAUGGGCGAAAGCCUGACGCAGCAACGCCGCGUGGAGGAUGAAGGCCUUCGGGUCGUAAACUCCUGUCAGUGGGGACGAAUGCUUCGUAAGAAGUUUGACUGUACCCGCUGAGGAAGCCACGGCUAACUCCGUGCCAGCAGCCGCGGUAAU
Molecule: ribosomal RNA, 186 nt
Filed under: uncultured soil bacterium
Lineage: Bacteria
Description: partial 16S ribosomal RNA
Rfam family: Bacterial small subunit ribosomal RNA
Source: RNAcentral